RNA transcript from Chinchilla lanigera (long-tailed chinchilla), 3083 nucleotides. RefSeq lists it as uncharacterized. The transcript has 3 exons. NCBI's taxonomy places the organism in Eukaryota, Metazoa, Chordata, Mammalia, Rodentia, Chinchillidae. The record is from RefSeq and is a predicted model, not a curated record.
CUGGGCUAUAUAAUGAGACCCUGUCCCUAAGUAAAUACAUUUAAAAAAUAGUCCUGGGAACUGAUCCCAGGGCAUUCCCACUGACGUACAUGCCCAGCCUACUUUACUUUGAAAGUUCAGACGAGCUCUGGCUAAAUCACUAAGUUGCCCAGGCUGGGCUCGAACUUGCAGGCCCCAGUUACAGGCAGGAGGGGAGGCAGGGAGGAGUGAGCGGGGAGCACACGCCUGGAAGCCUUCGGCGCAGAGGGGAAAUUCCCAGGAAAAUGGGAAGUCGGCAGGGGGAGUCCUCCCAGCUCAAGGCAAAAAUAUGUUCCAACCACAAAAACAUCUGGAGAGAAUUCUCUGGAGACCACGGGGAAAGCAGGGCGGGCUCGCUACGGCAGCGCACGCACUGCACCCGCAGGAAGAGGCUGACCAAGGCGCCCCUGCCCUGCCCCUGCCCUGGAGGGCUGCCCGCGGCCUGCAUGCGGCCAAAUAUGGGCAGAAAAAUGUGUGCUCAGGGAGAGGCCGGGAGAGGGCCCGCCGUUUCCACUGGCAGGGGGCCGGGGCGCCGCAGCCUGCGCAGAGCUGCAAGGGUGCGGGCUGGGGCACGCGGGGUGAAGGCAGAGGUGGCUCCAGACUGGGGGGGCCUGGGCUCACCCCGAACACCCCUAGGAGUCCUUCCUAACGGCCCCUGAGGCCGCCGCUGCGUGGGGAGCAGGCUACGCCCGUGGCUCUGCCGGCUGGGAGGCCGGAGCUGGGAGCAGGCUUGCACUUCGCGUUGCUCUGCACCCCACGAGUGCGCCCAGGACGCCAUGCGCAGGCCAAGCUCGGGUCCCAGGGCAAAGGUCGGCCGAGGUGGGUCUGCUGACCCCGGCUCCUGACCUCGGGCUGGCGUCCCAGCCACGCUGAUUUUUGCGGGGAGCGAAGGGGCAGAGGCUUUGCUCUCGGGUGGCUGGGUCACCCCUCCUCUCGGUGCCCUCCACUUCCUCCUGCACCCAGGCCUCGCGGAGGAGGGGUGCGUGCGACCUGGGACCCAGCCUGGCGCCACCUCUCCUGCCUGCCACGUGAGCUGGAGACGAGGGUGCAGCACCAGGGAUGCCCGGGCCCUCGCAGUGCCAGCCAGGUGUUCCGUAGCUCAGGAGCACCCCGCCAGCACCUUGGGUCUGUCCAGGGGCAGCCGACCUGCUCACCCUCUGCAAACACGUCACCUCCCUGCGCUCCCGCAUCCCCUCCUGUAGCAGCGGGGAGUGAGCCAGCGUGCCAAGCUGCGCCCCAACCCCUCUGACGGGACGUGGAGGCAGAGCCUCACGAAGCUGCCAGGCUGGUACUUGUGAUCCUCCCAUCUCAGCCGGCCUAGCGGAGCGCUGGCACUGCAGAUCGGGGGCCACCACGCCCGCCACCUGGCUUCUCCUGACUUUUCAGGAAUCUCAGAAUGGGAUUUUUCUGUUAUCAAACAGGUGUUUUCUUCUUGUUCUGGACAGAGACCCUGGAGUCGGAACUCAACUCUCAGCUGAGUCAGGAAACCCCAGGACAGGAGAGGGGUGCAGGGACCCUGUGUCACCAGCAGGGGGCGCAGGACGCCACCGCAGCGCUCAGUGCCAGCCAGGCGGGUCCGAGCGUUGUCCUCCACCCCAGGCCUCCCACCAGAGGGAUGCGCGGGUCAAGGUGGCCGUGUGAGCUGUGGCUCCUUGCCCACUGCCCAGGGCCCAGUGGCAUCAUGAGCCUUGUGGGGCCGGAGAAAAGGGCUGCCCUGGUGACAGAGGCGACCUUCCCGCGUCACAGCCGCUGUGGGGCCGCUCCCACCCGGCCUGGGGCUGGAGCCGGGCCCGCGGCAGGAAAGGGUGAGUCACAGGGCAGGCCCGGAGGAAGCAGCCGGGCGGCCGAUAAGCGGGGAGGACCCUGCUCAGCCUGGCCGGGUAAACACGCAGCCCUGCGCCCACCGCAAGCCUGGCUUCCCCGCCUGCACAGCCAGGUGGCGUCCCGGGAGCGUGCUCCGGUGACAGGGCCACAGGCAAGAGCAGCAGCAAGGCUUCAGAGUUCCAGACUCGGGGGCUGGAGACCCCAGAAAAGAGGGCAACUCCAGUGUAAAGUGGUGUGCUUAUGACGUCAGCACAUAGGGAGACUGAGGCGGAAAGAGUGCGAGUUCGAGUCCUGCCGCGUAACAAGGUGGCUGUCCUCAGGGGCCUGGCCAGCCCACAGCUGGACUGAACACCUUGGGAAGAGGAAAAACAACAUCUGCCAGGGAGGGACAGGUGCCACGGCUGGCCUGUGGGGAGCCCUGGACAGGGCCCAUCUUUGUUAAGAAGCCUGCUCCACUGGAGAUGACUGGGAGGCUGGCACAGCUCCCCGGGCCUGACAAGGUGAGCACUACGGCGCCGUGAGCCCAGGGCACGGACAGAGCCGGGAGGCUCUCUUCUGCACCUCCCACCCCGGGACAGGGCUGCAGGGACGACCCUGGGCAGGAUGGUCAGCUGCACCUCUGGUGGUGGCCAGGGGCACAGGACGCCCUGGCGCCAGGGAGGCCCUCUCCAGCCUCAGCGGGACCCAGUGGACGGCAGAGACACCGUGCCGCUGCGCCCAGGCCUGGGACAGCGGGGGGCAGGUGUGUGGGGCAGCAGUGCUGGAGGAAGGUGCGAACAGUGCCGUGGGGCCUUUCAGACCCGGUUCGAAGCACGGGGCACUAAGCAGAGCCCUGCUGAGCGCAGAGGCCACGCCCCGGACGAGGCCCUGUCCAGCCAGCUCUCCUUCCUCCCAGAGUGCCUGGCAGGCAAGCCACGUCCUGCACACUGCCCGCCUCGUGCUGACUGGGCCUGUGGCAGACCUGCCAGAGCGUCAGGCGGAAGAGGCCGGCAGGGCGUGGGCGCGGCCCCGCGCUGCCCAGGAGGGGAGGUGGAGGCCAAGCCCCAGGCGUGAGGGCACAGGCAGACAGGACGUGCGUCCUUCCGAGCCCCUCAGAGGGUUAGAUCAGCAAACCCACGACACAGAGACAGAGGUGACGACAGAGCAGGGGUGGAGAUGAGCGGUGGACACAGGCUCACAGAUGGGAGAUGGCAGGGGCCCGAGCGCGGGGCGUGCGCAGCCCCCGGGUGCGGUGGGGCCGG